GACGAACGCUGGCGGCGUGCUUAACACAUGCAAGUCGAACGAAGAGCGAUGGAAGCUUGCUUCUAUCAAUCUUAGUGGCGCACGGGUGAGUAACGCGUAAUCAACCUGCCCUUCAGAGGGGGACAACAGUUGGAAACGACUGCUAAUGCCGCAUACGAUCUGACCUCGGCAUCGAGGAUAGAUGAAAGGUGGCCUCUAUUUAUAAGCUAUCACUGAAGGAGGGGAUUGCGUCUGAUUAGCUAGUUGGAGGGGUAACGGCCCACCAAGGCGAUGAUCAGUAGCCGGUCUGAGAGGAUGAACGGCCACAUUGGGACUGAGACACGGCCCAGACUCCUACGGGAGGCAGCAGUGGGGAAUCUUCCGCAAUGGACGAAAGUCUGACGGAGCAACGCCGCGUGAGUGAUGACGGCCUUCGGGUUGUAAAGCUCUGUUAAUCGGGACGAAAGGCCUUCUUGCGAAUAGUUAGAAGGAUUGACGGUACCGGAAUAGAAAGCCACGGCUAACUACGU
RNAcentral lists this ribosomal RNA (509 nucleotides) under uncultured bacterium. RNAcentral's name for it is "partial 16S ribosomal RNA". It matches the Rfam family "Bacterial small subunit ribosomal RNA", at positions 28 to 506 of the family's 1533-position model. The record is from RNAcentral.